AUGAGAGCUGGGGAAGAAGAAAGGACAAAGAAGGAGGUGUCGGGUAUAUGUAGUCUCCUAAUCACUAUACUAAAAAUAAGACAUGGCCAAACACAAGGCCACCCAAACUUUCACAAAACAUUCACAUCUCCUAGCCAAGCUCUCAUGUGCAACAAGCAAGAGGAAGCAGAAAACAGCCCAACCAAACUCUCAGUCUCUCUUAUGUCACCUCUGCUAGAACUGUCAACUAAAAACACCAUCCCCUGCUCCUCCUCUUUCUGUUGGUCUCAGAGGUGCACUUUGUAUACCCUGAAGCAGAAAGAGAUGCCUGAAGAAGUCACAAAGGUAUUAAGAAACAAAAUCCACUGGAAUCACGGGUCAGAGGAGGAUUAUUUCAUCAGUGCACAAGCUGCCUGUUCCAGUAACACACCCUUCAUCCAGCCAACUGUCUGAAGUUUUGUAGAAUGAACAAACUUUCUUUGAAAAAGAAAAGCAGAGAGAAAUCCUCCUUUCUCUCAUUCAUUCUAAAGGAGAAAAGUCUUGAAACUAGAAGAAGAGAAAAGAUAGAUUGUUGAGUUUAAUAGUAAUUAAACCUGAAAAUAAUUUUCCAAUCUCAGGAUAAACAUGAUUACUAAAGCAGCUGGGAAUUUUGAAGAAAUGGCACAUGAUAAAACUCUAG
RNAcentral lists this long non-coding RNA (658 nucleotides) under Monodelphis domestica (gray short-tailed opossum). Its description in RNAcentral is "lncRNA (ENSMODG00000051108.1)". The record is from RNAcentral. Lineage: Eukaryota; Metazoa; Chordata; Mammalia; Didelphimorphia; Didelphidae.